RNAcentral lists this long non-coding RNA (526 nucleotides) under Chrysemys picta bellii (western painted turtle). RNAcentral's name for it is "lncRNA (ENSCPBG00000014142.1)". The record is from RNAcentral. Lineage: Eukaryota; Metazoa; Chordata; Testudines; Emydidae.
AAAUAUCAUUUAAAUACUAGGAACUGAUCCAUGUGAGCUGGAAAUAUUUGUUUCAAAUGUAUAUUUUAAAUGGUUUCCUGAUGUAGUUAGUCCUGUAGAGAAGACAGAAUCUCUGAACUCUUGAUGGUAUUGCCUCUAUUGGUUUUUUUAGAGAUGACUCAAAAGUGGAACCUGAGCUCUAGAUCUCUUUAACUUUCAGGCGUGUUCAGAUCUGAAUGCUUCAGAAGGAUCCUCCUUUUUGAAAAUCCACGUGUGGCACCCCCCAAAAUGUUGAGAUGUAUAUACUGCAAUUCAGAACUAAGCCUUCGGAGAGACUCCACUAUCGAUGGAACAGUUUGGUUACUUACAAACUAAGAUUCACAAGAAAUGUAACAAUUAUUUAUUCCCUCAAAAAUGAACCCCUACAAGUGAACAUGGACACAGUCCAAGGGAAAGGUGCCUUCAAAAUUCAGAAUGUGUAAGUUAAAAUUUGCAUGUUUGUAUGUUCUUGAUGUACAAAUAGACAUUUUGUUCAAUUUAAUGGGGG